This 309-nucleotide long non-coding RNA is filed under the name Androctonus crassicauda. The record is from RNAcentral. Lineage: Eukaryota; Metazoa; Arthropoda; Arachnida; Scorpiones; Buthidae.
GGGCGAUUGCGUUUUGUUCAAGUUUUGGGUUCGUGCAUUCAUCAGUGAUGGAGUGUAUUUAAAUAAUGCAAUUUUUGGCUUUAUUUUUAUUCAUGUUUGGGCUAAUACAAAAAAAAAUUAAAAAAAAAAAAAAGCAGCAACGACCGAGAGUUGGGCCCGGGAUGGCCGUGUGGCGGUCCACCGCUUGGCCGCGGCGCCGUGCCUGCAGUUGUCGAUUGUUUUGGCUGGCUUGUAUACUAUCGCUCUUUCUUUUUUCGGGGGUCAUUUUCUCGAUGACGGCUGGGCGUUGGCCUCUAAUCUUUCACUGUG